CCUACAGUGAAGGAACCAGAUGUGCUCGACUGUGUGAAAGCCUGCUUUACAGGGUUGGAAGACUACAAUCAAGUCUGUUGAAGAAGAGGAGACCAUUCCACUGCAGGCCGAAGACAAAGCUGCAGACUCUAAAGGUUCUGACCCAAACCGUGCGACAGUGAGAAGGAACUGGAGAGGCGUUUGGUCCACCCUGCCCUUUAUUCCCUCGGUUGGAGACAUGAGGACUAUGUGCACUUCCCAUAUAAGGGCUGAAGGGCUGGCUACUAAAAAGAUUAUCACACUGCAGACUGUGGCAGAGCUUCUCCAAG
Long non-coding RNA from Malaclemys terrapin pileata, 308 nucleotides. RefSeq lists it as uncharacterized. The transcript is spliced from 3 exons. Lineage: Eukaryota; Metazoa; Chordata; Testudines; Emydidae. The record is from RefSeq and is a predicted model, not a curated record.